This 467-nucleotide ribosomal RNA is filed under the name uncultured bacterium. RNAcentral describes it as "partial 16S ribosomal RNA". It matches the Rfam family "Bacterial small subunit ribosomal RNA", at positions 28 to 506 of the family's 1533-position model. The record is from RNAcentral.
GACGAACGCUGGCGGCGUGCUUAACACAUGCCAGUCGAACGGAAAGGCCCUGCUUUUGUGGGGUGCUCGAGUGGCGAACGGGUGAGUAACACGUGAGUAACCUGCCCUUGACUUUGGGAUAACUUCAGGAAACUGGGGCUAAUACCGGAUAGGAGCUCCUGCUGCAUGGUGGGGGUUGGAAAGUUUCGGCGGUUGGGGAUGGACUCGCGGCUUAUCAGCUUGUUGGUGGGGUAGUGGCUUACCAAGGCUUUGACGGGUAGCCGGCCUGAGAGGGUGACCGGCCAAAUUGGGACGGGGACACGGCCCAGCCUCCUACGGGGGGGAGCAGGGGGGAAUUUUGCAAAAUGGGGGGAAGCCGGAGGCAGCAACGCCGGGGGGGGGAUGACGGCCUUGGGGUUGUAAACCGCUUUCGCCUGGGACGAAGCGUGAGUGACGGUAAUGGGGAAAGAAGCACCGGCCAACUACGU